UAAAAUAGGAACGAUACAGAGAUUAGCAUGGCCCCUGUGCGAGGAUGACAUGCAAAUUUGUGAAGAGUUCCAUAUUUUU
This 79-nucleotide small nuclear RNA is filed under the name Pan troglodytes (chimpanzee). Lineage: Eukaryota; Metazoa; Chordata; Mammalia; Primates; Hominidae. The record is from RNAcentral.